UACGUAGGGGCCUAGCGUUGUCCGGAUUUACUGGGCGUAAAGGGCGCGUAGGCGGUCGUGACAAGUCACUUGUGAAAUCUCCGGGCUUAACUCGGAACGGUCAAGUGAUACUGUCGGACUAGAGUACAGAAGGGGCAACUGGAAUUCUCGGUGUAGCGGUGAAAUGCGUAGAUAUCGAGAGGAACACCUGCGGCGAAGGCGGGUUGCUGGGCUGAUACUGACGCUGAGGCGCGAAAGCCAGGGGAGCGAACGGG
Molecule: ribosomal RNA, 254 nt
Filed under: uncultured bacterium
Lineage: Bacteria
Description: partial 16S ribosomal RNA
Rfam family: Bacterial small subunit ribosomal RNA
Source: RNAcentral